CCUACGGGUGGCAGCAGUGGGGAAUAUUGCACAAUGGGGGAAACCCUGAUGCAGCGACGCCGCGUGAAUGAGGAAGUAUUUCGGUAUGUAAAGCUCUAUCAGCAGGGAAGAAAAUGACGGUACCUGACUAAGAAGCCCCGGCUAACUACGUGCCAGCAGCCGCGGUAAUACGUAGGGGGCAAGCGUUAUCCGGAUUUACUGGGUGUAAAGGGAGCGUAGACGGUUAAUCAAGUCAGAAGUGAAAAGCCAGGGCUCAACCCUAGAACUGCAUUUGAAACUGUUAUUCUAGAGUAUGGGAGAGGUAAGUGGAAUUCUUGGUGUAGCGGUGAAAUGCGUAGAUAUCAGGAGGAACACUCGUGGCGAAGGCGACCUGCUGGAACGUAACUGACGCUGAUGCGCGAAAGCGUGGGGAGCAAACAGGAUUAGAUACCCCAGUAGUC
Molecule: ribosomal RNA, 440 nt
Filed under: uncultured bacterium
Lineage: Bacteria
Description: partial 16S ribosomal RNA
Rfam family: Bacterial small subunit ribosomal RNA
Source: RNAcentral